CAAAAUGUCAUGCAAGUUUAUUGUCAACAUCCGUACGCGUAAAUCAAUUACCUUAAAUAAAUGUAUAAUCAUAUGAUUAUAAAAGCAUUCGGGUAGUUGUGAAAUAAGUUGUGGUAAAAUAGAGGAACAUUUUAGUUACCAUCGUGAUCACAAAUUAUGUACCAUAUAUAACUCUCUUUAAAAUACUAAUUACGUUCUGCUGUACCGAUAAGGCAUCACAUAUAAAUCAAAGAAUGACUUAAAACAUUUAUGUAAGGUUUACCUGUAACAGUUUACAUUCGGUUCAUGAAAUACAAGAAAAAAAA
Strongylocentrotus purpuratus (purple sea urchin) is the source of this 305-nucleotide long non-coding RNA. RefSeq lists it as uncharacterized. The record is from RefSeq and is a predicted model, not a curated record. NCBI's taxonomy places the organism in Eukaryota, Metazoa, Echinodermata, Echinoidea, Camarodonta, Strongylocentrotidae. The transcript has 2 exons.